CGAAGUUAUGCGUGCUUGGGCGAGAGUAGUACUAGGAUGGGUAACCCCUUGGGAAGUCCUCGUGUUGCAUCCAUUUUUUUGGCAAAAUUUGUAUCCUACUUCUUUUAAUAUAUCGACGGUAAAGCCAAUAAAUUCAAAAUGACUUUUACGCAUUGUAAACGAUGUUUUUUUUACAUGAAUGAUAAAAAAAAAAAUUAAAGAGGAUCGCCGGCCAAAUACGAUUUGAUAAUAAAAAUAAAGAAAAUAUUUAAAAAUUACGAUUAUCAACCACGACCUUAUGGGCUUUGCACCGUUGCACUUGACAUGUCACUACGCCUUGGUCUGGAAGGCGGCAUCCGUAAAAAUACAUAAAAUCAAAAGAGGAAUCGCGUAAAACGGAUAAAUGAGCAUAAAGUUAUGUCGUUUUAAGGCUUCACACUUUCGCACCUAGAGCGGAAGGAGGAAGGGUAAUAAGAAAAUUUAGAGUGCAAGGAAUGUCGGAUGCGAUCAUACCAGCACUAACGCACCGGAUCCCAUCAGAACUCCGAAGUCAAGCGUGCUUGGGCGAGAGUGGCACUAGGAUUGGUGACCCCCUAGGAAGUCCUCGUGUUGCAUCCCUUUUUUUGGCAAAAUUUGUAUCCUACUUCUUUUAAUAUAUCAACUGUAGAGCCAAUAAAUUCACAAAUGACUUUUACGCAUUGUAAACAAUUUUUUUUACAUGAAUGAUAAAAAAAAAUUAAAGAGGAUCUCCGGCCAAAUACGAUUUGAUAAUAAAAAUAAAGAAAAUAUUUAAAAAUUACGAUUUUUAACACGACCUUACGGGAUUAGCACCGUUGCACUUGACAUGUCACUACGCCUUGGUCUCGAAGGCGACAUCCGUAAAAAUACAUAAAAUCAAAAGAGGAAUCGCGUAAAACGGAUAAAUGAGCGUAAAGUUAUGUCGUUUUAUGGCUUCACACUUUCGCACCUAGAGCGGAAGGAGGAAGGGUAAUAAGAAAAUUUAGAGUGCAAGGAAUGUCGGAUGCGAUCAUACCUGCACUAACGCACCGGAUCCCAUCAGAACUCCGAAGUCAAGCGUACUUGGGCGAGAGUAGUACUAGGAUGGGUGACACCCUGGGAAGUCCUCGUGUUGCAUCCCUUUUUUUGGCAAAAUUUGUAUCCUACUUUUUUAAUAUAUCAACGGUAGAGCCAAUAAAUUCACAAAUGACUUUUACGCAUUGUAAACGAUAUUUUUUUUACAUGAAUGAUAAAAAAAAAAUUAAAGAGGAUCGUCGGCCAAAUACGAUUUGAUAAUAAAAAUAAAGAAAAUAUUUAAAAAUUAAGAUUAUCAACCACUACCUUACGAGCUUAGCACCGUUGCACUUGACAUGUCACUACGCCUUGGUCUCGAAGGCGGCAUCCGUAAAAAUACAUAAAAUCAAAAGAGGAAUCGCGUAAAAUGGAUAAAUGAGCGUAAAGUUAUGUCGUUUUAAGGCUUCACACUUUCGCACCUAGAGCGGAAGGAGGAAGGGUAAUAAGAAAAUUUAGAGUGCAAGGAAUGUCGGAUGCAAUCAUACCAGCGCUAACGCACCGGAUCCCAUCAGAACUCCGAAGUCAAGCGUGCUUGGGCGAGAGUAGUACU
This 1600-nucleotide long non-coding RNA is filed under the name Nicotiana tabacum (common tobacco). The record is from RNAcentral. Lineage: Eukaryota; Viridiplantae; Streptophyta; Magnoliopsida; Solanales; Solanaceae.